RNAcentral lists this ribosomal RNA (508 nucleotides) under uncultured bacterium. RNAcentral describes it as "bacterial SSU rRNA". It matches the Rfam family "Bacterial small subunit ribosomal RNA", at positions 30 to 526 of the family's 1533-position model. The record is from RNAcentral.
AUUGAACGCUGGCGGCAGGCCUAACACAUGCAAGUCGAGCGGCAGCGGAAGGAAGCUUGCUCUUGGGUGACGAGUGGCGGACGGGUGAGUAAUGUCUGGGAAACUGCCCGAUGGAGGGGGAUAACUACUGGAAACGGUAGCUAAUACCGCAUAACGUCGCAAGACCAAAGUGGGGGACCUUCGGGCCUCACACCAUCGGAUGUGCCCAGAUGGGAUUAGCUAGUUGGUGAGGUAAUGGCUCACCAAGGCGACGAUCCCUAGCUGGUCUGAGAGGAUGACCAGCCACACUGGAACUGAGACACGGUCCAGACUCCUACGGGAGGCAGCAGUGGGGAAUAUUGCACAAUGGGCGCAAGCCUGAUGCAGCCAUGCCGCGUGUAUGAAGAAGGCCUUCGGGUUGUAAAGUACUUUCAGCGGGGAGGAAGGGAGUGAGGUUAAUAACCUCAUUCAUUGACGUUACCCGCAGAAGAAGCACCGGCUAACUCCGUGCCAGCAGCCGCAGUAAAAC